This 497-nucleotide ribosomal RNA is filed under the name uncultured bacterium. RNAcentral's name for it is "partial 16S ribosomal RNA". It matches the Rfam family "Bacterial small subunit ribosomal RNA", at positions 28 to 507 of the family's 1533-position model. The record is from RNAcentral.
GAUGAACGCUGGCGGCGUGCCUAAUACAUGCAAGUAGAACGCUGAAGGAAGGAGCUUGCUCUUUCCGGAUGAGUUGCGAACGGGUGAGUAACGCGUAGGUAACCUGCCUGGUAGCGGGGGAUAACUAUUGGAAACGAUAGCUAAUACCGCAUAACAGUAGAUGUUGCAUGACAACUAUUUGAAAGGGGCAAUUGCUCCACUACCAGAUGGACCUGCGUUGUAUUAGCUAGUUGGUGAGGUAACGGCUCACCAAGGCGACGAUACAUAGCCGACCUGAGAGGGUGAUCGGCCAAACUGGGACUGAGACACGGCCCAGGCUCCUAAGGGGGGCAGCAGUAGGGAAACUUCGGCAAUGGACGGAAGUCUGACCGAGCAAAGCCGCGUGAGUGAAGAAGGUUUUCGGAUCGUAAAGCUCUGUUGUAAGAGAAGAACGAGUGUGAGAGUGGAAAGUUCACACUGUGACGGUAUCUUACCAGAAAGGGACGGCUAACUACGUG